GACGAACCGUGCGAACGUUAUUCGGAAUCACUGGGCUUAAAGGGAGCGUAGGCGGGCUAUCAAGUCUGGGGUGAAAUCCCACGGCUCAACCGUGGAACUGCCUCAGAUACUGAUGGCCUCGAGGGAGAUAGGGGCAUGCGGAACUGUAGGUGGAGCGGUGAAAUGCGUUGAUAUCUACAGGAACUCCGGUGGCGAAAGCGGCGUGCUGGAUCUCUUCUGACGCUGAGGCUCGAAAGCUAGGGGAGCAAACGGG
Molecule: ribosomal RNA, 253 nt
Filed under: uncultured bacterium
Lineage: Bacteria
Description: partial 16S ribosomal RNA
Rfam family: Bacterial small subunit ribosomal RNA
Source: RNAcentral